AUUGAACGCUGGCGGCAGGCCUAACACAUGCAAGUCGAGCGGUAGCACAGAGAGCUUGCUCUCGGGUGACGAGCGGCGGACGGGUGAGUAAUGUCUGGGAAACUGCCUGAUGGAGGGGGAUAACUACUGGAAACGGUAGCUAAUACCGCAUAACGUCGCAAGACCAAAGUGGGGGGCCUUCGGGCCUCAUGCCAUCAGAUGUGCCCAGAUGGGAUUAGCUAGUAGGUGGGGUAACGGCUCACCUAGGCGACGAUCCCUAGCUGGUCUGAGAGGAUGACCAGCCACACUGGAACUGAGACACGGUCCAGACUCCUACGGGAGGCAGCAGUGGGGAAUAUUGCACAAUGGGCGCAAGCCUGAUGCAGCCAUGCCGCGUGUGUGAAGAAGGCCUUCGGGUUGUAAAGCACUUUCAGCGGGGAGGAAGGCGAUAAGGUUAAUAACCUCAUCGAUUGACGUUACCCGCAGAAGAAGCACCGGCUAACUCCGUGCCAGCAGCCGCGGUAAUACGGAGGGUGCAAGCGUUAAUCGGAAUUACUGGGCGUAAAGCGCACGCAGGCGGUCUGUCAAGUCGGAUGUGAAAUCCCCGGGCUCAACCUGGGAACUGCAUUCGAAACUGGCAGGCUAGAGUCUUGUAGAGGGGGGUGGAAUUCCAGGUGUAGCGGUGAAAUGCGUAGAGAUCUGGAGGAAUACCGGUGGCGAAGGCGGCCCCCUGGACAAAGACUGACGCUCAUGUGCGAAAGCGUGGGGAGCAAACAGGAUUAGAUACCCUGGUAGUCCACGCCGUAAACGAUGUCGAUUUGGAGGUUGUGCCCUUGAGGCGUGGCUUCCGGAGCUAACGCGUUAAAUCGACCGCCUGGGGAGUACGGCCGCAAGGUUAAAACUCAAAUGAAUUGACGGGGGCCCGCACAAGCGGUGGAGCAUGUGGUUUAAUUCGAUGCAACGCGAAGAACCUUACCUGGUCUUGACAUCCACAGAACUUUCCAGAGAUGGAUUGGUGCCUUCGGGAACUGUGAGACAGGUGCUGCAUGGCUGUCGUCAGCUCGUGUUGUGAAAUGUUGGGUUAAGUCCCGCAACGAGCGCAACCCUUAUCCUUUGUUGCCAGCGGUUAGGCCGGGAACUCAAAGGAGACUGCCAGUGAUAAACUGGAGGAAGGUGGGGAUGACGUCAAGUCAUCAUGGCCCUUACGACCAGGGCUACACACGUGCUACAAUGGCAUAUACAAAGAGAAGCGACCUCGCGAGAGCAAGCGGACCUCAUAAAGUAUGUCGUAGUCCGGAUUGGAGUCUGCAACUCGACUCCAUGAAGUCGGAAUCGCUAGUAAUCGUAGAUCAGAAUGCUACGGUGAAUACGUUCCCGGGCCUUGUACACACCGCCCGUCACACCAUGGGAGUGGGUUGCAAAAGAAGUAGGUAGCUUAACCUUCGGGAGGGCGCUUACCACUUUGUGAUUCAUGACUGGGGUGA
RNAcentral lists this ribosomal RNA (1463 nucleotides) under uncultured Klebsiella sp. Its description in RNAcentral is "bacterial SSU rRNA". It matches the Rfam family "Bacterial small subunit ribosomal RNA". The record is from RNAcentral. Lineage: Bacteria; Pseudomonadati; Pseudomonadota; Gammaproteobacteria; Enterobacterales; Enterobacteriaceae.